GACGUAGGGUGCGAGCGUUGUCCGGAUUUAUUGGGCGUAAAGAGCUCGUAGGCGGCUCGUCGCGUCGACCGUGAAAACCCGCGGCUUAACUGCGGGCUUGCGGUUGAUACGGGCGGGCUAGAGUUCGGUAGGGGAGACUGGAAUUCCUGGUGUAGCGGUGAAAUGCGCAGAUAUCAAGAGGAACACCGGUGGCGAAGGCGGGUCUCUGGGCCGAUACUGACGCUGAGGAGCGAAAGCGUGGGGAGCGAACAGG
Molecule: ribosomal RNA, 253 nt
Filed under: uncultured bacterium
Lineage: Bacteria
Description: partial 16S ribosomal RNA
Rfam family: Bacterial small subunit ribosomal RNA
Source: RNAcentral